ACGCUGGCGGCGUGCUUAACACAUGCAAGUCGAACGAGAAUCGCCGGAAGGAGUUUUCGGACAACGGAAGGUGAGGAAAGUGGCGGACGGGUGAGUAACGCGUGAGGAACCUGCCUCGGAGUGGGGGACAACAGCCGGAAACGGCUGCUAAUACCGCAUGAUGUAUCUGGAUCGCAUGGUUUGGAUACCAAAGAUUUAUCGCUCUGAGAUGGCCUCGCGUCUGAUUAGAUAGUUGGUGGGGUAACGGCCUACCAAGUCGACGAUCAGUAGCCGGACUGAGAGGUUGAACGGCCACAUUGGGACUGAGAUACGGCCCAGACUCCUACGGGAGGCAGCAGUGGGGAAUAUUGGGCAAUGGGCCGCAAGCCUGACCCAGCAACGCCGCGUGAAGGAAGAAGGCUUUCGGGUUGUAAACUUCUUUUAAGGGGGAAGAGCAGAAGACGGUACCCCUAGAAUAAGCCACGGCUAACUACGUGCCAGCCGCUGC
Molecule: ribosomal RNA, 487 nt
Filed under: uncultured bacterium
Lineage: Bacteria
Description: bacterial SSU rRNA
Rfam family: Bacterial small subunit ribosomal RNA
Source: RNAcentral